Molecule: long non-coding RNA, 595 nt
Organism: Harpia harpyja (harpy eagle)
Lineage: Eukaryota; Metazoa; Chordata; Aves; Accipitriformes; Accipitridae
Exons: 4
Source: RefSeq, a predicted model, not a curated record
UUAAUUUUUGCAGAUGCAGAAAGACUGUGAAGAUAAACUUCAAAGGUUCUGAUGACUGUCUCACUUUCUCCUAGGGAACUUAUGAACACCAUUAUAACAUUUUGCCCUUAUUGAAUAUGGUCAGAAUGUCCCAUAAGGUGGCAUGAGACAGGGAAGGUGGCCUCCAUUCGUCCCCUCUGGCAUACUGGAACGGGUAGACUGCCCAUAAGCCAAAUCUGGUUGCCUUCUCCUACUAUUCCGUUCAGAGAAUAUGGGUUAUGUUCUCCCUGCUGCCAAAAGCCAACUCAAACUUUAUGUACAUCCAUGAUCGCCGGCUUGAGACUUAGCUGACACGUGGAGCUUACAUUCACUUUCUGAAAAGGGAUUAAAUUCUUCUCAUGGACUAAUGUUUCAGGGCUGCUCCACCAGCGAGUAGGCUGGGGUGCACUAAAAACUGGGAGGGGACACCGCCAGGAGCACUGACCCCAACUGACCAAACGGAUGACCCAUGCCAUAUGACGUCAUACCCAGCAAUAAACCUGGGGGAAAGAGGAGGAAGGAGGGACAUUUGGAGUUAUGGAGUUUGUCUUCCCAAGGAACCGUUAUGGGAGAUGAA